Long non-coding RNA from Clupea harengus (Atlantic herring), 766 nucleotides. The record is from Ensembl. Lineage: Eukaryota; Metazoa; Chordata; Actinopteri; Clupeiformes; Clupeidae.
CCUUCUUCCACUCUUCUUUCCUUUUACUCUUCUUUCCUUUCUUCUUUCCUUCUUUCACUCUUCUUUCUUUUCUUCUUCCUUUCUUAACUUUUGCAUUUCAUGCACUGGUAUUUCCUUCAGGAAAUGCAUUUUCUAGUUUAAAAUGGUAGCUUUCUUAUAUCCGAUUAGAGGAAGUGCACGGUCCUAUGCGGCCCUCUGGUAGCUAUGAAGAAAAAUUGUGGCCCUCUCCAUCAUUAAAGUUGCCCAUCCUUGGUGUAAAGAGUUGGGCCUCUAUAUACAGUCGAUGAUCUACGACACCCACUGGGAUCCCCAGAGAUGAAUGCGAAUUUCUUGCUAUGGUUCAAGAGCUUCUCUAGCCACUCCACGCAAACGAAUAAUGUAUGUUUUGAAGAAAGAAGAAGAAACACUACAAAGGACAAAAUGGAAUGUCAAUCCUACAAAUGACCUCUAGAGGACGCUCUUGCAAUAGUAUUGAGGAGUGGAGUUAUAGAAGUUUCCGAAUUCAGCACUUCUCAUAUCCACUCAGUGUCAGUGUGACUGGACUGGAGGUCAGAGGAGUCCGUGGGCAUUCUUCUCUUCCGUCAAGCCCUGGCCUGUACUGCGUCAGAGGGCCAGCUGAGCUCUUGCGGCCGGGCCGAGUGCCAGGAGCCAGCUGGGAGAAGGAGGAGUGUUAUGGGACGGAGCGGCGAAGAUGACAGCAGGACAGGAGGCGACACACCUGUGGCUCUGUCACGCCACCACACCGACCUCCCUCACCCCCCACCCC